UUGAAAGGGAAACGAUUGAAGUCAGUCGUACCGACGGGAAUUCAACUUCUCGAGUGCUAAUCGUGGGUGACGUUGAGCCUCACGGCCUUCGUUGCUUGUGUUGUUGGUGCUUUUGGGGUGUACUUUUCCGUAUUGGUAGGUCAGCAUCGAUUUCGAUCGUCAUAAAAUGAUCGGGGGAAUGUAGCUUCGGUCUCGUAUCGGAGUGUUAUAGCCCUUGGUAGAUGUGACGAUUGGGAUCGAGGAUUGCAACGAAUACCCUUUGGGCUAUCCGUCUGACCUCUGAAAGUCGCUCGGGUGUCGAAAGCGU
Molecule: ribosomal RNA, 307 nt
Filed under: uncultured Glomeromycotina
Lineage: Eukaryota; Fungi; Glomeromycota
Description: eukaryotic LSU rRNA
Source: RNAcentral